CUGAGAUCUCUGUGAUUGAGCUAGUGUAGACAGUUGAAUCCUCUUCUGAAUCCCUUUGUUUCUUGCAAUCUGAUCCAUGUGCUGAUCAGCUGUCUUGAGUUCGCCUCUGACCACAUUGCACCUGCUGUCUACAUCACAAUAUUGUAUGGCCAGCAACAGUCUCAUCACUUAUUGAGGUGUGCUGUAUGCCCACCUUUUCCAUUUCCUCCCAUUCUUUUUUAGUUAUUGUCGAGAGGUCCAAAUGACCACAGCCCAUUGAAAUCCUCCACCUUCACCUCUACAAGAUGAGAGCCAUUUAUAAGAUUGUGUAGAACCUGUCCCCC
This 323-nucleotide small RNA is filed under the name Histoplasma ohiense. RNAcentral's name for it is "hypothetical lncRNA". The record is from RNAcentral. Lineage: Eukaryota; Fungi; Ascomycota; Eurotiomycetes; Onygenales; Ajellomycetaceae.